CCCUCGAUAGCUCAGUUGGCAGAGCGUCCGGCUGUAAUGGAUCAAUUACCGGAAGGUCACCGGCUCGACUCCGGUUCGAGGGA
RNAcentral lists this transfer RNA (83 nucleotides) under Talaromyces rugulosus. Its description in RNAcentral is "Penicillium rugulosum tRNA". It matches the Rfam family "tRNA". From Rfam's summary of the family: Transfer RNA (tRNA) molecules are approximately 80 nucleotides in length. The record is from Rfam by way of RNAcentral. Lineage: Eukaryota; Fungi; Ascomycota; Eurotiomycetes; Eurotiales; Trichocomaceae.